RNA transcript from Fukomys damarensis (Damara mole-rat), 2674 nucleotides. RefSeq lists it as uncharacterized. The transcript is spliced from 8 exons. The record is from RefSeq and is a predicted model, not a curated record. NCBI's taxonomy places the organism in Eukaryota, Metazoa, Chordata, Mammalia, Rodentia, Bathyergidae.
GCGGAGGCGCUGCCCGACUGCCUUUUCUGCCUUUUUGGCCGGGCUUCUGGGCCUCCUCCGUGUGUGGCCACCUGUCCGGGGAGAGGCUUUAAUCCCCCAGCUGAUCUGAAGAACCUGCCAUCGCCUGUGCCACCCCUCCUUGUCACUGUCAUCUGUGGGCUCUGUGCCUCCUCCUCAUGCCUCUGGUUCCAACACCUGACUCAGCCUCAACCCCCACCCGGCUGCUGUGAACAUUUUUUUGCCUCUCUGCUGGGACCCUGCCUUCCCUCCUGUUGCAGGACUACAGAAGGCAGACCCACCCACUUGGCACCAGGAUCUCGUCCCCUCAGGACUGUUGCUACCUUUGGAGAUAAUCUGACCUAAGCGGAAUAGCUUUCCUCCGCCAUGACUUUCUGCUGUGAUGUUUCUGCCUCACCAAAAGCCCACCGCAAUGAAGCCAACUAACCAUGGACUGAAACUUCUGAAACCAUGAGCCGGGAUACAAUGUCCUCCUUCAAGCUCUUUGUGUCAGGAGCUGUCUAUUAGCCUUGAGAAGAGAAAAGCACUACCCACAGAGUGAAAAAUGUACAAAAUGUGUUACUCCUGGGAGCCCCUUCUCCUUCUCCAAAACCAGUCAGAAGGCGUGGUCUCGUAGAAUACAGCAUUUACAAGCUUGCCUUCCCUCAGAAUCUUUUCAUGAACGAAGGCCAGGUGACACGGGAGUGAGGGGCACACGCUGAGCGUUUACCUGUCCAUCUGAGUUCACUGUUGAGAACUUUUUGUGUUUUCCCCCAAGCACUGGAAGGGUUCAUUAUGGAAAUUCAAGGAGGCGCAGUGUAAUCAUGGGGAUCAUUGUGGACCUGGAAGAAACCAGCCUGAACAUGAAAGGAAGGCGGUCUGUGAGGAAUCUGUGCCAGCUGCCCCGGGGUAAGCCGUGCCAUUUGCCUUCCCCAGAAAGGUGAGGAAACGUCCCCAAGACAAGGUCUUUGCCGCUUCUGGGCCUUGUGCUUGGCAUGAAGCAUGGCGCCAGGUGCAGGGGCUCAGCAGACAUCCACGGAGAAGAUAACCUGUGAGACCGUGUGGCUGGUAAGCGUUGCAGAGGACACGUAGGUGCGGGUGGGACUUGUCAACUGACCACGUGUACCAGCUCUCUCUGACUGGGAGUUCCCUAAUAGUAACAGUGGCUGCCAUCUGCUAAAUUUUGUUUGUUUGUGACAAACAAAGGCAUCUAUUAUUUCCUGAAAUCCCAAGGCAGUUCACACUAGGCCACAGAGAGCGGAGGCUCAGGGGCACAAAGUCAGAAGAACUUGCCUGAUGUCACAAGGGCAGAGGCACCACGAUCAGGAUCCACAGUCAGCCGUGCUGGGCGCUUUCUGCUUCUCCAUGCUGACCCGGGUCCCUGCUGGACAGAGGUCUCCCAGCCGCGCAGGAUGGCGAUAGACACCUUUAGCGGGGGCAGGAAGUCCAACCCGCUUCCCUGCGAGCCAGCUGGGGACGCUUUCGCUGUUUUCUCCUCUUGGAGACAGGCUGGACUUCUACCUGGAAGGCAGCCCUAGCUCUGAUUUGUCACCCUUCAAAACAUCGCCCACCUUCAGGACCCUCAGCCUGGCAGCCUCUGCACCCCCAGCCCUCCGUCUGCGUGUGAACACGCACAGCUUUCCUUUCCGUCCUGCCUCCUCUGUCCUCUGGCUUCAAGGCCAGGUUUUCAUUUCACUAGAAAAACCUUGCUUCAGGUGUUAUUUUAUGCAUGAGCCCUGGCUCCAAAUGAGCACUCAAUAAAUAUGUAUUGAGUCGCAUGCUAAGUUCUAGACAAAAGAAGACAAAGCUUUGGAUCCAGAAGAAGAUGGCAAAGCUAGGGGUGUGGAUGGGGGCAACAACGAGCUACACUCUACUCCUCUGCUCUUCUGUCCUCUCUCCCUGGCUCCCUCUCCCUCCCUCAGCCCAGGCGGGCAGCCGUGCUGUAUUUAGUGUACUGCUGUCAUCUGAUUACAUCCAAACAGACUGAAAAGCUCCAAUCCAUGCCAGCGCAGAAGUGCACACACAGGCGGUGUUUCCGUGGAAAUGCCUCAGCUGUGAUUUACCUCUGACGAGAGCCACCAAACGAAGACCCUCCUUGACCCUCCGAAGAGAAGCAGCCACAACUGCACUAAAGGGCCGAAAAGGGCCCGAACCUCCGACGCGCAGCUUGGCGUGUGCACGUGGGUGUCCCACCUUCACAGCCUCUGACGGGCGCUGUAUUCAAGCGCUGGGCUGGGGGCUGGCGGCAGCUCUGCGAUCAUGUGGUUGAUCUUGUUUGACAGACAGCAGCCCAGCCUGGUGUGCCGAGUACAGAAUGUUCUCUGCUGUGAACUGUGCUUGAACUUUUCCAACCCACUUGGUUGGAGGAACCACACAGACACAGAGGGAAAAGACAGAAGAUAACCCCCACAUCGUUGAAAUCAUGGUGUUCUCGGGGAUUUUGGCUCAGGCCGUUUGCCUUUCACUGCUUGAAAUUAAAAAUCUCAGGCAUUCUACUUCUUGGAAGAGCAAAAUGCUUGUGAUGUCCUUCCUCUAAGACAGGACUUGGCAUCAACUCUGGAAAUUAACAAGUCUGUCACUGUCUCUCUUCAAUUUCUUUUUCUUUUUUUUUUUUUGUCCCUCAUAGGCAUUCAAGGAACAAUAAUAAAAGUUAUUUUCCUGUAAAGGAAAGAUAAGG